AUAUGAACGAAUCCUACCAUCUUACGCAUGAACUCACAUUCCAGCUGAACUUUAUCAUCCAAAGAUCAGGAUUACAUUUUACAGGGCGAUGGCAGGACAGAGGCAGGGCUGCUGGAGUUUGAAGCUCCUGGUCAUCCUCAGCCUCCUCAGCCUCACUGAAGAGUUCGAGGUGAGAGAUGAUGAGUGGGAGGAACUCGGCUCUGACAUCGCUGCACUGCAUCAACUCCAAGGACUGUCUGAACAUAUGUUUGAUGAAAAGCUUAUGAACUCCUCAACAACCAGGGGAAAUGGCUACCACCUGUCAAGAUUUGGAAGAUCUGUAAAAAGGACUUUAAUGCCUUCUUGGCACAUAUUGACAAACAGAAGGUACAAGACUGGUUGCUGGGUGCUUCAGAGAUCUCCCACAGCUACAGCCAAAAACUUCUGAUCAUGACCGACAGAGAAAAAUCCACCAGUGACAGAGUCCAGCAGGAAUACAGCAUGGAUCCUCAUUACUCCGUGAAAGUCAC
Long non-coding RNA from Astatotilapia calliptera (eastern happy), 509 nucleotides. Lineage: Eukaryota; Metazoa; Chordata; Actinopteri; Cichliformes; Cichlidae. The record is from Ensembl.